Arachis duranensis is the source of this 527-nucleotide long non-coding RNA. RefSeq lists it as uncharacterized. NCBI's taxonomy places the organism in Eukaryota, Viridiplantae, Streptophyta, Magnoliopsida, Fabales, Fabaceae. The transcript is spliced from 3 exons. The record is from RefSeq and is a predicted model, not a curated record.
GGGUGAAGCAAAGAAAAGCCUGCAAGACGCACCGGUACCGCCACCACCAUUCUGGGUCUUUCCUAUCUGUCAAAACUAUAAGGGAGGAGAGUUGGUAGAGGAGAAAUAUCGAUUUUAUAGCACAAACAACCUGAUGGCACCUAUAUACAUGAAGAAGCUCAAAGGAUUGGUGAUAAAAUAUCUGAGAUUUAGCAGCGUGAUGAAUCCACAAGAAUAUUGUCUGAAAAUAAUUCCCUUUCCCAAUAGCAGUAGAGAAGAUGAGGCAGGAAAUAGAGAGUGUGCUAACUUAUCUGAUUCAAUGGCAAGGUGGAGAGCUGCCACCAAACAUCGCUGCAUUGAUGAAUUCUUUGGAUGAACAUAGCGGAAAAUAGGAAUUAGGAGUCGUGUGACCUUUUAUUUGAAGUAUAUGUUUAGUUGACUAUGUAUCUUUAUUAUCUAGUAAAAUACUUUUUUUGUGACUAGUGAAAUACUUUAUUGGUAUUAAUGUAAAUAUGUCAGUUUCUUUCGCAGUUAAAUAUAUAUGAAUU